Molecule: long non-coding RNA, 370 nt
Organism: Gorilla gorilla gorilla (western lowland gorilla)
Lineage: Eukaryota; Metazoa; Chordata; Mammalia; Primates; Hominidae
Exons: 3
Source: RefSeq, a predicted model, not a curated record
CACAGUAAGCAGUCAAGAAUAUUUGUGGUUCUACUGACUGAAGUGCUCCUAUCUUGUGACUCAUGCGUGGCACGUCUAUAAGUCAAGCUGGAAUCCUCUAAAAUAAGUCACAUGGGAAAAAAUUCUGAUCUUAUUCUAGACGAAGAAUGAAAAGCCAGGAAGCUACAUAACCCAAGAAGUACGGCCUUUGAAGAGAAUGACAGUCAGAAAAGGGAUUAAGUGGCACAUUUUUUUCAGACGACUGAUGCUCCUGUGAGUACGAGACUAUACAGUGCAAUAUAAAUCAGCUGUUGGUUUGAGUUACGGGAAGGAGCUGGUCUUGUUUAUGUAUCUUAGAUAUCAAUAAAGUGAUCAAAAGGAGUCAAUCAAA